GGAGUAUCACCAUCCCAGAACAAAAGUGGGAGGGUCCUUGGAGAAACUGGAGCAAAGUUCCUAUUGGAAAUGUCAGCCUGUCUCCAUGGUGCUAAGAAAAGUAAGGAAAGAAAGUUUUCUCCAGACACACCAAUAUGAACUCCAUUAACAUGAGAUAGAAAACUAACUCAGAAACUUAGAAUCAGAACCUUAAAAUCAGAUCCUCAUUAUGGAAAAUUUCAAAUAUACACAAAAACAGUAGUCUCUUCCAUCUAGAUCCAGCAGUCCUGGUGGGUGAGACCUGAUUUAAUUAGAUUUAUUUUAAAAUUUAAAAUGUAUAUUUUAGGCUGGGCACAGUGGCUCAUGCCUGUUAUCUAAGAACUUUGGGAGGCUGAGGUGGGAGGAUUACUUGAAGCCGCCAGGAGUUUCAGACCAGCCCGGGCAACAAAACAAGACCCCAGUCUCUACAAAAAAAAUUUUUUUUAAAAAAUUAGCUGGGUGUGGUGGCAGUAGCUGUGGUGCCAGAUACUGGACAAGCUGAGGCAGAGGGUCCCUUGAGCCCAGGACUUUGAGGUGGCAGUGAGCCCUGAUCGCGCUGUCACAGGAUGCUUCGCAGUGAGCCCUGACCUCACUGUCAUGGGAUCCUUCGCAGUGAGCCCCGAUCCUGCUGUCACAGGAUCCUUUGCAGUCAACCCUGACCUCACUGUCACAGGAUCCUUCGCAGUGAGCCCUGACCGCGCUGUCACUGGAUCCUUUAUAGUGAGCCCUCAUCACAGUCACAGGAUCCUUCACAGUGAGCCCUGAUUGUGCUGUCACUGGAUCCUUCGCAGUGAGCCCUGACCAUGCUGUCACUGGAUCCUUUGUAGUGAGCCCUCAUCACAGUCACAGGAUCCUUCAGUGUUGACUUUGGUAUCGCUUCGCCAGUGGGAAACUUCUGUGGCCAGUGGCAUCUCUGCUUGAGUUUUGCUCGUGGCCGCUGAGCUCCUUCCACCUACUUGGUCUGGCAGGCUGUGCUUAGUUCACGCUACCAGCCCAGAUCCCCCACCUGCCAUGGGCAAGCCAAGUGCGGAGCAGAGAGGGGUGUGUGAGUGUGCAGGUAUGGGGUCUGGCCAGUGCACGUAGCCAGGCACACCAGCUGCUAUGGUGGGGUGGGCAGCUCCGGGCACGGGCACAGGUGCCAGCUCUGUGUGAAGCUGCAGCUGGACCUUCCACCACAGGCACCAGCAACUGGACGAGGGGAACGCAUUGGUGCCCAAAAGCUUGGAGAUGCCAGGAACCGCAGAGCCCCAAAGGGUGUUACAGCAUGUCACGGUCUUGGCUUGGGGAGGCCCACAGCUCUUCUCUCCUUCUCAUCACUUGCAGUGUGGCAAGUGGGGUUGGGGGUGUUUUGGGGUAGUAUUUCAGCCAGUUUGUGUCACAGUUCUUUCAGUCCCACCGCCCCGCUCUGGCCUGAAGCUCCUGGGCUAGUCUGGCCCUGCCUCCUGUCACUGCUGACAGAGGGCGGGAGGGCUAUAGUGUUACAGCUCUGGCUUGGGGAAUCCCAAGGUCUGGGCCUCAGAAAGGUUACCACUCUUAACUCCCACAGUCCAGACGCGUAUCACUGCCCACAGCCUGGUGAGCCAGCCAGCGAAGUGUUACAGCUCCUUUUGCUUCCACUGUGUGGUGGGUCCCAAGUUCCUGUCCUGUGUCCAGGAAGAAUGAGGCUACUCAGACAACUGGAGGGUGAGCAAGGCAGAGAAGAGCUUUAUUGGGUGACUGAACAGCUCUCAGCAGAGAGGAGACCCAAAGUGGGUAGCUCCUAUCCACAGGCAGGUAAUCCCAGAGUGUAUGAGUCUGGCUGAGUCCAGGGAUUUUUAUGGGCUCAGAAUGGAGGAAGUUCAUGCUAAUUGGUCCAUGGUGGGCCUGGAAGAAGCACCACUUGAUUGGCUGAAAGGCAUCAAGGAAGUUUUUUCACUCCGGGUAGCGGACUUCACUGGGACCUGGCAGCCUGGCCUCCAGGCUUCAGUCCAUCCUUGGCUUGAAGGUGGGGUUUCAUCUGGGACCCGUCCUUUCCUACCCAGAAACCUGUCUGCCUCCUGCCACCAUCAACACCAUUGCACUCCAGCCUGGGCAACAGAGCGGAGGCCUCAUCUCUUAAAAAAAAAGAAUAAAUAAAAUAAAAACAAAUAAAAAAUGUAUAUUUUAAAAAUAAAUACC
This 2175-nucleotide long non-coding RNA is filed under the name Homo sapiens (human). RNAcentral's name for it is "HSALNT0130494". Lineage: Eukaryota; Metazoa; Chordata; Mammalia; Primates; Hominidae. The record is from RNAcentral.